GACGAACGCUGGCGGCGUGCUUAAUACAUGCAAGUCGAACGGAAAGGCCCUGCUUUUGUGGGGUGCUCGAGUGGCGAACGGGUGAGUAACACGUGAGUAACCUGCCCUUGACUUUGGGAAAACUUCAGGAAACUGGGGCUAAUACCGGAUAGGAGCUCCUGCUGCAUGGUGGGGGUUGGAAAGUUUCGGCGGUUGGGGAUGGACUCGCGGCUUAUCAGCUUGUUGGUGGGGUAGUGGCUUACCAAGGCUUUGACGGGUAGCCGGCCUGAGAGGGUGACCGGCCACAUUGGGACUGAGAUACGGCCCAGACUCCUACGGGAGGCAGCAGUGGGGAAUAUUGCACACUGGGCGGAAGCCUGAUGCAGCAACGCCGCGUGCGGGAUGACGGCCUUCGGGUUGUAAACCGCUUUCGCCUGUGACGAAGCGUGAGCGACGGUAAUGGGUAAAGAAGCACCGGCUAACUACGUG
RNAcentral lists this ribosomal RNA (468 nucleotides) under uncultured bacterium. RNAcentral's name for it is "partial 16S ribosomal RNA". It matches the Rfam family "Bacterial small subunit ribosomal RNA", at positions 28 to 507 of the family's 1533-position model. The record is from RNAcentral.